ACUUGACCAAAGUCAGACAACAGUGAUUAUAUUACUACAGUGAUUCUGGAGUGUUCUCAACAAAUAAUAACCUCAGAAACAAGUAGGCACUUGGAGACAUUGGGCUGUGGAUUCAGGUUGCCUAGGUUUGAAUCCUAGUCCCAACAUUUACUAAGGCUCUCUGAUAGUGGGCACAUUAUUUAACUUCCUCAGACCUGUUUCCCCAUCUACAAAAUUGGAUUACCUAUGCUCCAAGAGAGAGGCCAUGUGGGUACACCAUGAGAAGUCUGUCAUCUACAGGAAAGGAAGAGAGCCCUCCCAGGAAACUGACUUUGCCAGACUUUGACCUGGAACGUCUAUUCUCCAGAACUCCUCAACAUGAAGAUGAUGAAAAUGGAGACCUUCAUCGUGAUCCACUUCUAAUUAAUGAAUAGGAGGCUUGGGCCGAACUGGGUGAUCAGACAUCAUACACAGAGAAGGAGCAAGAGAGAGAUUACACAGAGGAGGAACAAGGUGUGCAGCGGACAGCCAGUGCCAAGACCUCAGACACGCCUCCCUCUUUCUCUACCUUUCUACCUCCCUCCCUGCCUUCCUUCUGUUUUCCUUUAAUUAAGACUGGUGUCUCAGUGAUGAUCUGAAGAGAUGCUCACUGCGUGCUUACAAGUUCUUCCACACACGCUGUUCUCAGCUGUUCUCAUGGUGUGCACUCUCCUGCUAAGAGCUGCAAAGUGGGGCCUCUUCUGAUUUGGUAAAGAAGAAUCUGACUUUGUGCAAGAAAUAA
This 760-nucleotide long non-coding RNA is filed under the name Homo sapiens (human). RNAcentral describes it as "long intergenic non-protein coding RNA 1362". Lineage: Eukaryota; Metazoa; Chordata; Mammalia; Primates; Hominidae. The record is from RNAcentral.